Molecule: ribosomal RNA, 464 nt
Filed under: uncultured bacterium
Lineage: Bacteria
Description: SSU rRNA
Rfam family: Bacterial small subunit ribosomal RNA
Source: RNAcentral
AGGACUAACGCUGGCGGCGUGCCUAACACAUGCAAGUCGAACGAGGUAGCAAUACCUAGUGGCAGACGGGUGAGUAACACGUGGUCAACCUGCCUUCGCGUGGGGGAUAACUAGUCGAAAGGUUAGCUAAUACCGCAUACGAUCGUUUCGGGGCAUCCCGAGACGAUGAAAGGAGCAAUCCGCACGAAGAGGGGACUGUGUCCCAUUAGUUAGUUGGUGGGGUAAUGGCCUACCAAGACUCCGAUGGGUAGCUGGCUUGAGAGAGCGACCAGCCACACUGGAACUGAGACACGGUCCAGACUCCUACGGGAGGCAGCAGUGAGGAAUUUUCCGCAAUGGGCGAAAGCCUGACGGAGCGACGCCGCGUGUGGGAAGAAGGCCUUCGGGUCGUAAACCACUGUCGAAGGGGACGAUAUUGACGGUACCCUUGGAGGAAGCCCGGCUAACUACGUGCCAGCAGCCGC